This 886-nucleotide ribosomal RNA is filed under the name uncultured archaeon. RNAcentral describes it as "bacterial SSU rRNA". It matches the Rfam family "Archaeal small subunit ribosomal RNA", at positions 25 to 893 of the family's 1478-position model. The record is from RNAcentral.
CAUGCUAUCGAGUGAGACUAAGCCAUGCUAGUUGACGACUCGAGCCAUGGCGGAGAGUAGCGAAUCGCUCAGUAACACGUAGCUAACCUACCCUCAGGACGGGAAUAACCUCGGGAAACUGAGGCUAACUCCCGAUAGGUGUAGGGAUCUGCAAUGACCUUACACCGAAAGAUGCGCAAACCCAUGCUGCUUGCGAAUGCCUGAGGAUGGGGCUGCGGCCGAUCAGGCAGUUGGUGAGGUAACGGCUCACCAAACCUUUGACCGGUACGGGCCGUGAGAGCGGUAGCCCGGAGGUGGGCACUGAGACAAAGGCCCAGGCCCUACGGGGCGCAGCAGGCGCGAAAACUCCACAAUGCACGAAAGUGCGAUGGGGUUACCUCGAGUGCCGUCUGAUGAAGGCGGCUUUUCUACAGUGUAAUGAUCUGUGGGAAUAAGAGGGGGGCAAGACUGGUGUCAGCCGCCGCGGUAACACCAGCCCCUCGAGUGGUGGGGACUUUUAUUUGGCCUAAAGCGUUCGUAGCCGGCUUGGCAAGUCACUCGUUAAAUCCAGCGUCACAAGCGUUGGGCUGCGAGUGAUACUGUCAAGCUAGAGGGUGGGAGAGGUCAGCGGUAUUCCCAGGGUAGGGGCGAAAUCCUUUGAUCCUGGGAGGACCACCAGUGGCGAAGGCUGCUGACUAGAACACGCCUGACGGUGAGGGACGAAAGCUGGGGGAGCGAAUCGGAUUAGAUACCCGAGUAGUCCCAGCCGUAAACGAUGCAGGCUAGGUGUUGGAGUGACCAUGGGUCACUACAGUGCCGCAGGGAAGCCUUUAAGCCUGCCGCCUGGGGAGUACGGCCGCAAGGCUGAAACUUAAAGGAAUGGCGGGGGAGCACACAGGGUGAGCUG